AGAGCCCUCUUGUUCCUGAUGGAUUCUUCUUUCGUUAUUUUUCCUCCGCUUUAAACUGGAAAAUGGCCCACUUCCCACUGGCGAAAACUCAGGAAAUUUGGCAGGACGACCGGGCCUGGUGAAAAAUUUGAUAUUCUGAAGUCGUCCAAACAAAAAAAUGAAAAAUGGCUCCAUAGCGCCCCCUAUGGUGAAAACUCACCUGAUGCCUGUACGCUUUGUCAAAAUGACACAAAAUUUGACACACAUGUGUAUCUCAAUAAGAUCUACGAAAAAGUCAGUGCGGGCGUAUCUGCCAAAUGUACGGUUAAAGGGCUAUUUCGCUUUUUUUGCCGAUCCGCACACAUUGGAAUUUCGCUAACUCCUCCGAAGGCUUUCGUUCCACCGGCACCAAGUUUGCUCAGGCCAAUCUACACCCCAUGGCCAUUAAAAGUUGUACAAAUCAUGAUGCUGCACCCCACGGUUUACUUUCUAGGGGGCGCCAAAGAUAACCCAAAAAUCCACAUUCUUAAAAGUCUUAUAACUUUUUAUUUUUGUCCUCACUGGCCUCCAAGUUUUCUAGGAUGAUGCAAUGUCCAGCCAUCAACACAUUUGUGAAGGAAUUUUUACUCCCCAAAAGAGCGCCCCCCCAUGGCAGGAGAAAAAAGUCCAUUUUUUCUUGUCUCCUAAGGUAAAAAUACACAUUGUUGAGUGUCACGCCUAUACACUUUGUCAUAUUGACACACAAUUUGACAAUCACGUGUAUCUCAAUAAGAUCUACAAAAAAGUCAAUAGGCACGUAUCUGUCAAAUGUAUGGUUAAAGGGCUAUUUCGCAUUUUUUGCCGAUUCGCACACAUUGGAAUGUGGCUAACUCCUCCUAAGGCUUUCGUCCCACCGAUACCAAAUUUGCUCAGGGCAAUCCACACCCCAUGGCCAUUCAAAGUUGUAAAAAUCAUGACGCUGCACCCCACGGUUUACGUUCUAGGGGGCGCCAAAGAUGACCCAAAAAUCCACAUUCUUAAAAGUCAUUUUGGCCACUGCAGGAGUACAGAGUACUGCAGUUCUAGGGGGCGCCAAAGAUGACCCAAAAAUCCACAUUCUUAAAAGUCUUUUUGGCCACUGCAGGAGUACAGAGUACUGCCGGACACACACACAUAUACACACACGCCAACACACACACACACACACACACACACACACACACACACACACACACUCAGAGUCUGUUUUUUAGCACCUGCAAAAACAUGCUGUUUACAUAUUUGACAAGAAUGCAGAGGCUUCCUUUUGCCCCUGAAAAAAAUCAAAUUUCAAACACAACUUGACUGUUCAUUUCUCCAAAAGACAACCAUGAAGCUCCAUCCAAACCUGAAGCAGAUAGUUGGUGCAUGUGUACAGUAACCUGAGGAGAGUGAGGUGACUACUUCUGAGGAGAACAUGAGCAGUGAAGAUUCACCUUGGAGCUAGAACAGGGACGUGCACAUGAUUAUACAGGGGCAGGGGCUCAAGUUUUUUCCAGUCAUUUAUACAAUAUGGAAAUUAAUGUGAAAUUAAACCACAAAUAUGUGUGAUGAACUGUUUUUAAAACUUAAACUUCAAAUAAAAAUUGUAAACUUCAAAACAUAUGCAAAUUUUUAACAAAGAACAUAGUAAUUUACCUCUAUUUACAUCAAAAUGCAGGCAAUGGCCCAGGCGUUCUUUGUAAAAUUAUUUACAAAACACUGUAUAGUCUCACAAAUGUCACUUUUUAUUUAUGCCACUACAAAAAAACAUGAUGUAAAUGAUGCAUGAUGUAAAACAUGAUGUAAAAAACUUAUGUAGAUCCUCCUCUAUGUCAGUCCAUGUGUAAUUUUUCCAUAAUUCUUUGUUUUUUGCAGCAUUUUUGUUAGUGUAACUGCAGAUUGUGCUGACAGUGUCUAUGGCAAAAAAAAAAAAAAACUGAAAAUGCCUCAACAUGAACUCCUGGUGGUCUCUGAGGGUGAAACCUGCUAACUGCUGCAGCUCUCUCAGCUUCAGUCUCCCAUGCAGAGCUCGGAGCGCAUGUGUGGCUCUGCACCCUUAGCAGCGUUGCUAACUCCUCAGUAAGGAAAGCCUGCUUCAUGUCAGAGUCUCUAAACUCCAGAAGAAGUCGAUAAAAGUCCCUUUCUUUCUAAAAAAGUCGUUAGGGGGUCUGAAAAGUCAUUGAAUCUAACAACAAAGUCGCUAGGUUUGCAACUACGUGUCCCAGACUGCAUCCCUGCUGAGAGUCCCUCCCUCCCUUCUCAUGUUGCAGGAAGAACGUAAGCGCCCGCCCCUUGUCAAUCAGUCACCAUAUAAUUUUGGAUUGGUUGUUGUGGUGAAGUUUUCCACCAAUAGGAGAGAUGUUGUGGUGUGUUUUUUUUUUCUUUUGGCAAGCCUUUUCCGCCUGUAAGACCUGUCGCUAAUGUGUGCAUGCUAUGUUUUCCUGUCUCAUACAGCGCGAUCGAGCGCCGAACGUGAUCAAAAUAAGCAGAAAAAAAGUAUCGCGGACAUAAUUUAUCAUAACUCUGGUUUUAUUUGGCCUAUCAACACAAUUUAAAAACUGGUAUAUAGGUUGAGGUCCUCACUUUUGAGAUAAGUUUAAACGGAGAGUUAACGAGGCUCCGUCUUGCAGCUACAUCCGGUUAAAUAUGUCAUGUGACUUGAACGCACACACAGACACACACACACGCACACACACACACACACACACACAGACACACACACACACACGCACGCACACACACACACACACUCAGAGUCUGUUUUUUAGCACCUGCAAAAACAUGCCAUUUACAUAUUUGACAAGAAUGCAGAGGCUUCCUUUUGCCCCUGAAAAAAAUCAAAUUUCAAACACAACUUGACUGCUCAUUUCUCCAAAAGACAACCAUGAAGCUCCAUCCAAACCUGAAGCAGGCAGUUGGUGCAUGUGUACAGUAACCUGAGGGGAGUGAGGUGACUGCUUCUGAGGAGAACAUGAGCAGUGAAGAUUCACCUUGGAGCUAGAACAGGGACGUGCACAUGAUAAUACAGGGGCAGGGGCUCAAGUUUUUUCCAGUCGUUUAUACAAUAUGGAAAUUAAUGUGAAAUUAAAAAACAAAGUAUGACUGUCCUGUGUAGGUGACAGUGAUAUCCAAUAGGCUAGGCACUCACGAGGCUGGCUGUGGCAAGUGUAAGUGAAAGCAACACGCACUGGCAGGAAGAACAGCAAACGCCGAUGAAGGAAAAGGGUCUUUGCAGUGAUGGGCGUUACCAGAGAGGGCGAUGGCCAGAGGACGCGAAUGGGACGGGGAGGCAGCGCGUUUCGCGACACGGCUCGGGCCCGCCAGUGCCCCAACGGGGCCCUAGUUAGGGCCCGAGCGUAGCUGCUAAGCAGCUGCGAGAGCCCUCUUGUUCCUGCAUGUUUCCUUCUUUCGUUAUUAUUUUUCCUCCGCUUUAAACUGGAAAAUGGCCCACUUCCCACUGGCGAAAACUCAGGAAAUUUGGCAGGACGACCGGGCCUGGUGAAAAAUUCGAUAUUCUGAAGUCGCCCAAACAAUAAAAUGCAAAAUGGCUCCAUAGCGCCCCCUAAGGUGAAAAUUCACAUGGCGGCUGUACGCUUUGUCAUAUUGACACAAAAAUUGACACACACAUGUAUCUCAAUAAGAUCUACAAAAAAGUCAGUGCGGGCGUAUCUGUCAAAUGUACGGUUAAUGGGUUAUUUUGCAUUUUUUGCAGAUCUGCACACAUUGGAAUUUCGCUAACUCCUCUGAAGGCUUUCGUUCGACCGGCACCACAUUUGCGCAGGCCAAUCUACCCCCCAUGGCCAUUAAAAGUUGUACAAAUCAUGACGCUGCACCCCACGGUUUACGUUCUAGGGGGCGCCAAAGAUAACCCAAAAUCCACAUUCUUAAAAGUCUUAUAACUUUUUAUUUUUGUCCUCACUGCCCUCCAAGUUUUCUAGGAUGAUGCAAUGUCCAGCCAUCAACACAUUUGUGAAGGAAUUUUUACUCCCCAAAAGAGCUCCCCCCAUGGCAGGAGAAAAAAGUCAAUUUUUUCUUGUCCCCUUACAUGAAAAUACACAUUGUUGAGUGUCACGCCUGAACGCUUUGUCAUAUUGACACAAAAAUUGACAAUCAUGUGUAUCUCAAUUAGAUCUACGAAAAAGUCAAAAGCGCGUAUCUGUAUAAUGUACGGUUAAAGGGCUAUUUCGCAUUUUUUGCCGAUUCGCACACAUUGGAAUGUGGCUAUCUCCUCCUAAGGCUUUCGUCCCACCGAUACCAAAUUUGCUCAGGGCAAUCUACACCCCAUGCCCAUUCAAAGUUGUAAAAAUCAUGACGCUGCACCCCACGGUUUACGUUCUAGGGGGCACCAAAGAUGACCCAAAAAUCCACAUUCUUAAAAGUCAUUUUGGCCACUGCAGGAGUACAGAGUACUGCAGUUCUAGGGGCGCCAAAGAUGACCCAAAAAUCCACAUUCUUAAAAGUCUUUUUGGCCACUGCAGGAGUACAGAGUACUGCAGGAUACACACACACACACACACACACACACACACACACACACACACACUCAGAGUCUGUUUUUUAGCACCUGCAAAAACAUGCUGUUUACAUAUUUGACAAGAAUGCAGAGGCUUCCUUUUGCCCCUGAAAAAAAUCAAAUUUCAAACACAACUUGACUGUUCAUUUCUCCAAAAGACAACCAUGAAGCUCCAUCCAAACCUGAAGCAGAUAGUUGGUGCAUGUGUACAGUAACCAGAGGGGAGUGAGGUGACUAUUUCUGAGGAGAACAUGAGCAGUGAAGAUUCACCUUGGAGCUAGAACAGGGACGUGCACAUGAUUAUACAGGGGCAGGGGCUCAAGUUUUUUCCAGUCAUUUAUACAAUAUGGAAAUUAAUGUGAAAUUAAACCACAAAUAUGUGUGAUGAACUGUUUUUAAAACUUAAACUUCAAAUAAAAAUUGUAAACUUCAAAACAUAUGCAAAUUUUUAACAAAGAACAUAGUAAUUUACCUGUAUUUACAUCAAAAUGCAGGCAAUGGCCCAGGCGUUCUUUGUAAAAUUAUUUACAAAACACUGUUUAGUCUCACAAAUGUCACUUUUUAUUUAUGCCACUACAAAAAAACAUGAUGUAAAUGAUGCAUGAUGUAAAACAUGAUGUAAAAAACUUGUGUAGAUCCUCCUCUAUGUCAGUCCAUGUGUAAUUUUUCCAUAAUUCUUUGUUUUUUGCAGCAUUUUUGUUAGUGUAACUGCAGAUUGUGCUGACAGUCUAUGGGAAAAAAAAAAAACUGAAAAUGCCUCAACAUGAACCCCUGGUGGUCUCUGAGGGUGAAACCUGCUAACUGCUGCAGCUCUGUCAGCUUCAGUCUCCCAUGCAGAGCUCGGAGCGCAUGUGUGGCUCUGCACCCUUAGCAGCGUUGCUAACUCCUCAGUAAGGAAAGCCUGCUUCAUGUCAGAGUCUCUAAACUCCAGAAGAAGUCGAUAAAAGUCCCUUUCUUUCUAAAAAAAAGUCGUUAGGGGGUCUGAAAAGUAAUUGAAUCUAACAACAAAGUCGCUAGGUUUGCAACUACGUGUCCCAGACUGCAUCCCUGCUGAGAGUCCCUCCCUCCCUUCUCAUGUUGCAGGAAGAACAUAAGCGCCCGCCCCUUGUCAAUCAGUCACCA
This is a non-coding RNA of Xyrichtys novacula (pearly razorfish), 5614 nucleotides long. The record is from the annotation of a GenBank genome assembly. Lineage: Eukaryota; Metazoa; Chordata; Actinopteri; Labriformes; Labridae.